Long non-coding RNA from Microtus oregoni (creeping vole), 518 nucleotides. RefSeq lists it as uncharacterized. NCBI's taxonomy places the organism in Eukaryota, Metazoa, Chordata, Mammalia, Rodentia, Cricetidae. The transcript is spliced from 3 exons. The record is from RefSeq and is a predicted model, not a curated record.
UGUCUGCGGAACAACAGAGGAGCUUAAAGUGGUCCCGACUAUGGAGAGAACCCCUCAGGAAGGCAUUUAAAAGGACUGCGUUCAGGAUUUUGCACGCUGAUGUGGUGGGAUCAUUUUAACUCCUUGCACAAUGUCUCGAAUCAACCAUAAGAAAUGAUGACAGGCGGUGGUCACUAGAGAUCACAGACUGUUGCAUAUAUUCAUGGAAGAAGCAACGCAGUGAGGCAUUCCUUAUUUGGGGGUACUCUGGACAUUUUGAAUUAUGUGACUACAAGAAAAUUGGGUUUAAUUAAUCUGUAUCUUGAGUUUGCGAAGAAGUGGAAACAUAUGUAGGUGGAGCCCGUUCCAGCCCUUUCCGUGGUUUCAUUUGCUGUAGCGGAUCCAGCUGGAAAAUGAAUUGGAAGCCUGGCAACCCACCUUGGCAGGAUCUGCUGUCUGAGGCUGGGGUGAAGCCCAUCUCACACUCGCAACGGAAAGCCUAUUGGGUGUCCUGAGAUGGGGAUAACGGAGCACUCCGC